Molecule: ribosomal RNA, 593 nt
Filed under: uncultured bacterium
Lineage: Bacteria
Description: bacterial SSU rRNA
Rfam family: Bacterial small subunit ribosomal RNA
Source: RNAcentral
GACGGGGGCCCGGCACAAGCAGUGGAGCAUGUGGUUUAAUUCGACGCAACGCGAAGAACCUUACCAGGUCUUGACAUCCAGUUAAAGNAUAAGAGAUAUGUGUNUNCUUGCACAAAUGAAACAGGUGGUGCAUGGUUGUUGUCAGCUUGUGUUGUUAAAUGUUUGGUUAAGUUCCGCAACGAGGGCAACCCCUUCNNUCUAGUUGCCAAUNUGUGAAGUGGGGGACUAUNNAUGGACUGCCGGGGCCACCUCGGAGAAAGGUGGGGUNGACGUCAAAUCUUCAUGCCCCUUAUGCCUUGGGUUACACACGUGUUCCAAUGGCCGCCACAGAGAGGAGCGAACCUGCGAGGGGGAGCGGAUCUCAAAAAAGUGGUCCCAGUUCGGAUUGCAGGCUGCAACCCGCCCGCAUGAAGUCGGAGUUGCUAGUAAUCGCAGAUCAGCAUACUGCGGUGAAUACGUUCCCGGGCCUUGUACACACCGCCCGUCACACCAUGAGAGUUGGGUAGCGCCCAAAGUCCGGUUAGGUACCCUGAGGAGCCCAACCCGGCCUAAGGCUAAGCCAAUGAUGGGGUGAAGUCGUAACAAGGGGCCGU